RNAcentral lists this microRNA precursor (99 nucleotides) under Petromyzon marinus (sea lamprey). Its description in RNAcentral is "microRNA pma-mir-181b precursor (pma-mir-181b-1)". Its record names the gene pma-mir-181b-1. The record is from miRBase by way of RNAcentral. Lineage: Eukaryota; Metazoa; Chordata; Hyperoartia; Petromyzontiformes; Petromyzontidae.
GCAGGAUCUCGCUUGACAUUCAGUGCUGUCGGUGGGUGUUGCGCGUGCCUGCCUCGAACACAUAACCCAGGGAGCACUGAAUGCACACCGUGAUCCGAG